Molecule: long non-coding RNA, 330 nt
Filed under: Ictidomys tridecemlineatus (thirteen-lined ground squirrel)
Lineage: Eukaryota; Metazoa; Chordata; Mammalia; Rodentia; Sciuridae
Description: lncRNA (ENSSTOG00000007938.3)
Source: RNAcentral
GUAUAUAUAUAUCCGUAUAUAAUUUAAUUUGAAGGACUUUUCUCUAAACAGUGUCACUACAGGACAUCAACAUGAAAAAAGCUUUCAAAAGUUCUACAGUUCAAGAUCAGCAGGUGGUUUCAAAGAACAGCAUUCCUAAUCCUGUUGCUGACAUUUACAACCAGAGUGAUAAACCUCCACCUCUGAACAUCCUGACACCUUACAGAGAUGAUAAGAAGGAUGGGUUGAAGUUCUAUACUGAUCCUUCCUAUUUCUUUGACCUAUGGAAAGAAAAAAUGCUACAGGAUACAGAAGACAAAAGAAAAGAGAAAUGGCAGCAAAAGGUAAGUA